This 375-nucleotide ribosomal RNA is filed under the name Triticum aestivum (bread wheat). RNAcentral describes it as "partial small subunit ribosomal RNA". Lineage: Eukaryota; Viridiplantae; Streptophyta; Magnoliopsida; Poales; Poaceae. The record is from RNAcentral.
AUGGACAACAUAUUUUUUUGCUCCUUUUCACCCACUUUGUUCCUUCUAUCAGUGUUGAAUUUUUUCCCCAAAUCAGUUUUGCUCUCAGCAAGGGUGCUUCGCUGUAUCAAUGACGAGCCAUCCUUACCCAGCUAUGCGCUCGACAACUGCAGCCAAGAUCGCUUCCUCUCUCCUUUCCCCACCCCCCUCCAAUUUUUUGGCUCUGUGUGUGAUGGGAAAGGGGGCUGGGCGAUGGCACGUGAUGGGAUCGCCAAGGGUGUAGCAAGGGGAGAGGGGAAUCAAGCUAAUUGUCUAAAGAUCCGCCCCUCCCCCAAGAAAAGUUUCGGCCGGUGCAAAGAAUCACGACCUGAAUUUGAUCCUGAUUUCUCUCUCUAA